UUUAAAAAAAAAGCAUGGUUAGGACAAU
This 28-nucleotide non-coding RNA is filed under the name Rattus norvegicus (Norway rat). The record is from RNAcentral. Lineage: Eukaryota; Metazoa; Chordata; Mammalia; Rodentia; Muridae.